This is a long non-coding RNA of Astatotilapia calliptera (eastern happy), 1795 nucleotides long. The record is from Ensembl. NCBI's taxonomy places the organism in Eukaryota, Metazoa, Chordata, Actinopteri, Cichliformes, Cichlidae.
CCUGCUGCUCCACGCGCACAUCCAAGCGGGACCCGGACACCGAGCAGCUCCGGUCCCCCGGCUCGCUCCCCGCGGGGUUUUCGGGCUCGUUGUGAGCGCCGGGGCGCCGCGCACAUCUAUCCCGCAUCUCGGGCUCUUAACGCGUUUAGAUCGAGGGGAGGUUCCGUUCCCGGUGCAGGGACUCGGUCGGGUCGCAUUACCGGGAGCGGUGACGGAGUGAGCGGCCGGUGGAUGCGUGGACGCGGACCUCCAGCCCGGGGUUUGCUCCGUUUGAAUGGAGGACAGCGCGUCAGGCGGACCUGAAAGAGAAGAAGCUGGUGGAGGAGAAGGAGAACGGCAAAGACGCCGCCACCAAUGGGAAGGUGAGCGCCAUCGCCGCCGCCGCAGCAGCUCUCUGCACAGAGUCGGACAUUUUUAACCAUUUUUGUAUUUUCCAGGAGAAUGAAGAGAACGGUGAGCCCGAGGUAGAUGACGAGGAGGACGAGGAGGUGGACGAGGAAGAAGAGGAAGAUGAUGGAGAAGGUGAUGAGGAAGAUGAGGAGGAGGACGACGACGAGAUUGAGGGUGGCACAAAACGGGCAGCUGAGGAUGACGAGGACGACGACGAGGACGACGUCGAAACCAAGAAGCAGAAAACCGACGAUGACGAUUGAUGCGUUUCCCCCGCGCCAUCCUGCUGAACCACUUCCUGAUUCUUCACCUCUGACCAUUUUUCUAUGUCGCAGGUGGAGGGGCUGGAGGACUGAUUUAAAGGAAAAAAUAAUAAUAAUAAAAAAAAUCCAACAUGGUCAUUAGCAAGUAGAGUUCAACAAACACCCGCCACGCCCACACCCACCCGAGCUCCCCUCGACGCUGCGAGACAAAUUUUCUAGAGGAACCCGCCACCGCAUCGACGACGCAGAAAUCCGGCUUCUCUUCAGCAACAACACAAAAGGAGAAUUUGUUUGUAUUUUUAUUUACAUUUUAUAUUUUUGUACAUAUUGUUAGGAGAGGGGAGGGGGGCAGUUUCUCUCUCGGCAGCGAUCCCGUCAGACCAAAUCGGUGCUUCUCUAACGAAAGAUUUUACUUGGUUGACCAUGUUACGAUAUCUCAACAGAUCUUAGAAAAACGUGUAAAAAAAUAAAAUGAAUAAAAACAUGAAAGACAACCUCUUAAGCCGUUGAACUCAGAGCAUUCCAGUAAAUUUAAUGUAUGUACUUUAGCUGUACCAUAACUAGUUUGUUUGUAUGGGAGGGUAAGGCCAAAGAAAAGAGCCUCUUUUCUUUUUCCUUUCUUUUGGUUUUUUUUCUUUUGGUUUUGUUUUUGUCAGCGACUUUUUGUUUUAUGACGGCCUGUUUUGAUGUAUGUGCAAAGUUUGUUGUUUGACAAUAAACCGGACUUUUAUUUUGUGAGUUGUACUUUGUAUCUCUGCCCCUUUUUAUUUGUGCUUUGCUCUCCUGUGAGGAAGAGGAAGCAGUGCAGGUAAACCUGAGGUCUGCUUUUACUUUAGGGUCACAACAGCGAGGAGGUGGGUCCAGCACAUCUUAUUGGACAUUUUACACUCAUUACAUCCAUAUAAUUCAUAUUACAUAAAAGUUAAGGUUUGGUACUAAAAUAAACUGGCGGUUCCAAAAGACUAAAUGUGGUUUAUUUCUUUUGGAUUUUUCUCUUCUUUUUGUCUAUAUUGCAAACAUGCAAACAGAAGCAGUUCUGAUAGUUGAAAGUUGUAAGAAUAACAUAAUGUGUCACAUAAAUAAGGGUUUCUGCAUGAAUUUAAAGUCUUAACAUUAAAAUAAAGCAUAUUAAGGUCUGAGAA